RNAcentral lists this long non-coding RNA (708 nucleotides) under Brassica napus (rape). Its description in RNAcentral is "long non-coding RNA (BNAP_LNC005218)". Lineage: Eukaryota; Viridiplantae; Streptophyta; Magnoliopsida; Brassicales; Brassicaceae. The record is from RNAcentral.
UAAUACUUUGUGAAUUUUGUGAUGAUGACUUAAUUUGAUAGUUACGUUUUUCAAUAAAGUGUUGUUUUCAAAGAAUAAAAAUUAAACUAUCUGACCUUUAAUGGUGGAGACAUGGAACAAAGUGAGAAGGAUAGUUUUUAAGUAGUGGAGAGAUGAAAAAAUGUGUGGAUAAGGGUGUAGGAAAGAAGGACAGCAGAAGUAAUAAGGAAAAAAAUAUCAUGGGGAUGAGCAAAGCGAGAAAAAAAACAAUAAAGAACAAAUCAACCAUUGGCAACCAAUACAAGCGGUAAAGAAAAAAAAAUCAAUCAUUGCAACCAAUACAAGUUUUCGUAACUUGGUAACUCGAUUAAAAUUUGACUAGUUAUACAUCCAAAUUUAUAACUACUAGAGCUAAGACAACAUAGAACUAUCACUAUUUUCCUCGCACUAUAGGGUUUCUCAACUUCAUACUUGCCAAGUAGAACUUCUUCUUCUAACACACUAAAUUUGUUAUUUGUGUUUGUGUUUAUGUUACUUGGUUUGUUAUUUAUGUUCGUAGAAAUUGGUGUAAUUUAGGAUAACUUUGGUUAAGUAUCUCAUUUUUUGUUUGUUAUUUCUUUUUUUCAUGUUUGUGUAAUUAGCUAAAAAAUUGCCAUAGUUUUCGAUUUUCUUAUGUCAAACUUUGUAUAAUUUAGUAUUUUUUGUAUUUCUCUUUGCAUAAUUCAGUAA